GUCUCAAAGAUUAAGCCAUGCAUGUCUAAGUAUAAGCACUUGUACUGUGAAACUGCGAAUGGCUCAUUAAAUCAGUUAUCGUUUAUUUGAUUGUACUUUUUACUACAUGGAUACCUGUGGUAAUUCUAGAGCUAAUACAUGCGAAAAAUCCCGACUUCUGGAAGGGAUGUAUUUAUUAGAUUAAAAACCAAUGCGGAUCCUCGUGGUCCGUCUACUUGGUGAUUCAUGAUAACUUUUCGAAUCGCAUGGCCUAGCGCCGGCGAUGUUUCAUUCAAAUUUCUGCCCUAUCAACUGUCGAUGGUAAGGUAGUGGCUUACCAUGGUUGUAACGGGUGACGGAGAAUUAGGGUUCGAUUCCGGAGAGGGAGCCUGAGAAACGGCUACCACAUCUAAGGAAGGCAGCAGGCACGAAAAUUACCCAAUCCCGAUUCGGGGAGGUAGUGACAAGAAAUAACGAUACGGGGUCUUAAUAGGUCUCGCAAUUGGAAUGAGUACAAUUUAAAUCCUUUAACGAGGAUCAAUUGGAGGGCAAGUCUGGUG
RNAcentral lists this ribosomal RNA (539 nucleotides) under Anthoathecata sp. CN24. RNAcentral describes it as "SSU rRNA". It matches the Rfam family "Eukaryotic small subunit ribosomal RNA", at positions 34 to 566 of the family's 1831-position model. Lineage: Eukaryota; Metazoa; Cnidaria; Hydrozoa; Anthoathecata. The record is from RNAcentral.